This 72-nucleotide transfer RNA is filed under the name Ovis aries (sheep). It matches the Rfam family "tRNA". Rfam says of the family: Transfer RNA (tRNA) molecules are approximately 80 nucleotides in length. Their secondary structure includes four short double-helical elements and three loops (D, anti-codon, and T loops). Further hydrogen bonds mediate the characteristic L-shaped molecular structure. tRNAs have two regions of fundamental functional importance: the anti-codon, which is responsible for specific mRNA codon recognition, and the 3' end, to which the tRNAs corresponding amino acid is attached (by aminoacyl-tRNA synthetases). tRNAs cope with the degeneracy of the genetic code in two manners: having more than one tRNA (with a specific anti-codon) for a particular amino acid; and 'wobble' base-pairing, i.e. permitting non-standard base-pairing at the 3rd anti-codon position. Lineage: Eukaryota; Metazoa; Chordata; Mammalia; Artiodactyla; Bovidae. The record is from Rfam by way of RNAcentral.
UCCCUGGUGGCUCAGACAGUAAAGCAUCUGCCUGCAAUGCGGGAGACUCGGGUUCGAUUCCUGGGUCGGGAA